AUUGAACGCUGGCGGCAUGCCUUACACAUGCAAGUCGAACGGCAGCACGGGAGCAACCCUGGUGGCGAGUGGCGAACGGGUGAGUAAAGUAUCGGAACGUGCCCAGUCGUGGGGGAUAACGUAGCGAAAGUUACGCUAAUACCGCAUACGAUCUAUGGAUGAAAGCGGGGGAUCGCAAGGCCUCGCGCGAUUGGAGCGGCCGAUAUCAGAUUAGGUAGUUGGUGGGGUAAAGGCUCACCAAGCCGACGAUCUGUAGCUGGUCUGAGAGGACGGCCAGCCACACGGGGACUGAGACACGGCCCAGACUCCUACGGGAGGCAGCAGUGGGGAAUUUUGGACGAUGGGCGAAAGCCUGAUCCAGCCAUGCCACGUGCAGGAUGAAGGCCUUCGGGUUGUAAACUGCUUUUGUACGGAACGAAAAGGUUUGGCCUAAUAAGCUGAGCUCAUGACGGUACCGUAAGAAUAAGCACCGGCUAACUACGUGCCAGCAGCCGCAGUAA
Molecule: ribosomal RNA, 500 nt
Filed under: uncultured bacterium
Lineage: Bacteria
Description: partial 16S ribosomal RNA
Rfam family: Bacterial small subunit ribosomal RNA
Source: RNAcentral